CGGCGCUCGCACACCGAGAGCUUCAGAGAUCAAAAUUUUCGACCUCACUACUCACCAUAUAAAUACAGUGAGACUGUAUAUUAUAGAGAUUAAUCUAAUAAUCUCGCCUUCACCUUCACCUUCCUUGGUGAAUACUCACAUCAUCUCUCUGCAAUUCCUCUCGUUGAAAAAUGGCUCAGCCUCUCCUGAAGAAAGACGACGAUCGCGAUGACGAAGCGGAGUACUCUCCGUUUAUGGGGAUUGAGAAGGGGGCUGUGCUUCAGGAAGCUAGGGUUUUCAAUGAUCCGCAAUUGGAUGCACGCAGAUGCUCACAGGUCAUUACAAAGCUUCUGUAUCUUCUGAAUCAGGGUGAGACGUUUACAAAGGUUGAAGCUACAGAAGUGUUCUUUGCUGUCACAAAACUCUUUCAGUCAAAGGAUCUUGGUCUAAGGAGAAUGGUAUACUUGAUGAUAAAAGAGCUUUCUCCCUCAGCUGAUGAGGUAAUCAUCGUUACUAGCUCUCUUAUGAAGGACAUGAAUAGCAGUACAGAUAUGUAUCGUGCAAAUGCUAUUCGAGUCCUCUGCCGAAUCACAGAUGGGACUCUUCUCACACAAAUUGAGAGAUACUUGAAACAAGCGAUUGUUGACAAAAACCCUGUUGUUGCAAGUGCUGCCCUUGUUAGUGGAAUCCAUUUGCUUCAGACAAACCCGGAGAUUGUGAAAAGAUGGAGCAAUGAGGUCCAAGAAGCUGUUCAGUCAAGGGCAGCUCUCGUUCAAUUCCAUGCACUGGCGCUGCUGCACCAGAUAAGGCAAAAUGACCGUUUAGCUGUGAGCAAGCUUGUUACCAGUUUGACAAGAGGAACUGUUCGCUCACCUCUAGCUCAAUGCCUCUUGAUUCGUUAUACUAGUCAGGUUAUAAGAGAGGCUGCCAUGAGUAAUCAAACAGGGGAUAGGCCAUUCUAUGACUAUCUAGAGGGUUGCCUACGUCACAAAGCAGAAAUGGUUAUUUUUGAAGCUGCCAGGGCAAUCACAGAGCUUAGUGGUGUGACUAGUCGAGAAUUAACUCCUGCAAUCACUGUUCUACAGCUCUUUUUAAGCUCUUCCAAGCCAGUUCUUAGGUUUGCUGCUGUUCGAACCUUGAAUAAGGUGGCAAUGACACAUCCUAUGGCUGUGACAAACUGCAACAUAGAUAUGGAGAGCUUGAUUUCUGAUCAGAAUAGGAGCAUAGCAACUCUUGCCAUAACGACUCUUCUUAAGACCGGCAAUGAAUCAAGUGUUGAUCGUUUGAUGAAGCAGAUAACUAAUUUUAUGUCCGACAUUGGUGAUGAGUUCAAGAUUGUUGUGGUGGAAGCCAUUAGAUCAUUGUGUUUGAAGUUUCCCCUGAAGUACAGAUCUUUGUGAGUAAUCAUGGACUUUUAAGGAAGUGCAUAUAAAUACUCCUACAUGAACUUUUUUGGUUCCAUAGAUCCGCCAAGAAAAGCCUCCAAAACAAAUAUAAUACUUUUUUUGUUUAACUUCUGGAAUUGAAUAUAAUCUAUUUAUUUAUCUCCUUUUAUGUAUCUAUAGAUACUACAUUUUCUUGGAAAUGAAGGACCUAAGACAUCAGACCCCAGUAAGUACAUACGAUAUAUAUACAAUAGAGUUAUACUUGAGAAUGCAACAGUUCGGGCCAGUGCAGUGAGCACCUUAGCUAAGUUUGGUGCCUUGGUUGAUUCAUUGAAGCCCCGUAUAUUUGUGCUAUUGAAACGUUGCCUAUUCGACGGUGAUGAUGAGGUUCGCGAUAGGGCAACACUGUAUUUGAAUACCCUUGGAGGUGAUGGUGCAGUUGUUGAAACUGAUGAUGAGGUGAAAGAGUUCCUAUUCGGGUCACUCGGUGUCCCUCUAACCAAUCUGGAGACAAGUUUAAAGAACUAUGAGCCAUCAGAGGAGGCGUUUGAUAUUUUUUCUGUUCCCAAGGAAGUUAAAUCUCAGCCUUUGGCAGAGAAGAAAGCACCGGGUAAAAAGCCAACUGGUUUGGGUGCUCCACCUGUCGGCCCCACCUCUACUGUUGAUUCAUAUGAAAGAUUACUGUCCUCUAUCCCAGAAUUCGCUAGCUAUGGGAAGCUUUUCAAGUCAUCGGCGCCAGUGGAGCUCACAGAAGCUGAAACAGAGUAUGCAGUUAAUGUCGUGAAGCACAUUUUUGAUAGUCAUGUAGUGUUCCAGUACAACUGCACCAAUACCAUUCCUGAGCAAUUGUUGGAAAAUGUCUCUGUUAUUGUGGAUCCGUCUGAAGCUGAGGAAUUUUCUGAAAUAGCAUCCAAACCUCUCAAGUCUCUUCCAUAUGAUACUCCAGGGCAGACAUUUGUGGCUUUUGAGAAACCUGAAGGAGUCCCUGCUGUUGGGAAAUUCUCGAACACACUAAGAUUCAUUGUUAAAGAGGUUGAUCCAACCACUGGUGAGGCUGAAGAUGAUGGUGUUGAAGAUGAAUACCAACUAGAAGACCUUGAGGUUGUCACUGCAGAUUACAUGCUGAAAUUGGGAGUCUCCAAUUUUAGGAAUGCAUGGGAGAGCUUGGGACCAGAUUGUGAACGCGUAGAUGAAUAUGGUCUUGGCCCAAGGGAAAGCCUGACUGAAGCAGUAAAUGCAGUCAUUAACCUUCUUGGCAUGCAACCUUGCGAGGGCACUGAGGUAGUCCCAAGCAACUCAAGAUCGCACACAUGUUUAUUAUCUGGUGUAUACAUUGGCAGCGUAAAGGUACUUGUUCGGUUAUCAUUUGGAUUGGAUGGGGCAAAGGAGGUUGCAAUGAAGCUGGCUGUUAGGUCAGAAGAUAUAUCUGUAAGUGAUGCAAUUCAUGAAGUUGUUGCAAGCGGCUAGGUUUCUUUACAUCGACCGAGAGAUACUAGUUGUUAAGUAGUCCUCAGGUGAUUCUGUGGUGGGAUUUUGACAAAGUCAAAAGUCAAUAGGCUCUGUGAGAACUGCGAGAUACUCUUUGACGAGUUAUGGGAAUUCAUUCAUUUAUAUGACUAGUAGUCUAUUUUGGAAACAGGAGUUGAUUAUUGUAGUUUAUCCAACUCUACUAUGCUAAAGUGAUUUCUAGAGCAGUUUUCCCAAGCCUGAAACUUAGCAUUCA
Nicotiana tabacum (common tobacco) is the source of this 3087-nucleotide non-coding RNA. The record is from RefSeq and is a predicted model, not a curated record. Lineage: Eukaryota; Viridiplantae; Streptophyta; Magnoliopsida; Solanales; Solanaceae.